RNAcentral lists this ribosomal RNA (253 nucleotides) under uncultured prokaryote. Its description in RNAcentral is "partial 16S ribosomal RNA". It matches the Rfam family "Bacterial small subunit ribosomal RNA", at positions 525 to 777 of the family's 1533-position model. The record is from RNAcentral.
ACGAAGGGGGCUAGCGUUGCUCGGAAUCACUGGGCGUAAAGGGUGCGUAGGCGGGUUUUUAAGUCAGGGGUGAAAUCCUGGAGCUCAACUCCAGAACUGCCUUUGAUACUGAAGAUCUUGAGUCCGGGAGAGGUGAGUGGAAUUCCCAGUGUAGAGGUGAAAUUCGUAGAUAUUGGGAAGAACACCGGUGGCGAAGGCGGCUCACUGGCUCAUAUCUGACGCUCAGGCGCGACAGCGUGGGGAUCAAACAGGA